This 301-nucleotide ribosomal RNA is filed under the name uncultured bacterium. RNAcentral describes it as "partial 16S ribosomal RNA". It matches the Rfam family "Bacterial small subunit ribosomal RNA", at positions 509 to 807 of the family's 1533-position model. The record is from RNAcentral.
CAGCAGCCGCGGGAAUACGGAGGGAGCUAGCGUUGUUCGGAAUUACUGGGCGUAAAGCGCGCGUAGGCGGCUUCUUAAGUCGGAUGUGAAAUCCCUGAGCUUAACUUAGGAAUUGCAUUCGAUACUGGGAAGCUAGAGUAUGGGAGAGGAUGGUAGAAUUCCAGGUGUAGCGGUGAAAUGCGUAGAGAUCUGGAGGAAUACCGAUGGCGAAGGCAGCCAUCUGGCCUAAUACUGACGCUGAGGUACGAAAGCAUGGGGAGCAAACAGGAUUAGAUACCCGGGUAGUCCCUGUCUCUUAUAC